This 251-nucleotide ribosomal RNA is filed under the name uncultured bacterium. Its description in RNAcentral is "partial 16S ribosomal RNA". It matches the Rfam family "Bacterial small subunit ribosomal RNA", at positions 524 to 775 of the family's 1533-position model. The record is from RNAcentral.
UACGGAGGGUGCAAGCGUUGUCCGGAUUUAUUGGGUUUAAAGGGUGCGUAGGCGGCUGAUUAAGUCUGGGGUGAAAGCCCGUUGCUCAACAACGGAACUGCCCUGGAAACUGGUUAGCUUGAGUACAGACGAGGGUGGCGGAAUGGAUACUGUAGCGGUGAAAUGCAUAGAUAGUAUCCAGAACCCCGAUUGCGAAGCAGCUGCCUAGACUGUAACUGACGCUGAGGCACGAAAGCGUGGGGAUCAAACAG